Molecule: long non-coding RNA, 548 nt
Organism: Polyodon spathula (Mississippi paddlefish)
Lineage: Eukaryota; Metazoa; Chordata; Actinopteri; Acipenseriformes; Polyodontidae
Exons: 3
Source: RefSeq, a predicted model, not a curated record
GAAAUGUGUACAGUAUUUUGGCAGCUGUCAUUAGAUUGCUACUCACCAGUGCUGGUAUAAGAAGACAGAGGUGUACUUUUUGUAUAUUUAUUUCAAAUUUUGUAACGAUGAACAUGGAAACGGACAAGGACAACAACGUUAGUGUACCAAAGAAGUUGACAACACGCACUAUGACUGGCAGAUUAAUUUACUCGAGCCAAUGCAAGCAACAGACUGACAGUAAUAGCUGAACAAAUUCAGUACUUGCAGGAGCAAGCUAGGAAGGCUUGGGGUUCCAGCUGCCCACAUAAAUUCCUUGGUGCUUAUAAGCUGCAGUUUGACAUGUCCUGGACCCCCUCUGAUGAGGUUGAGAAAAGGGACUCUGAGAUCAGCAUCCUAGACAAGCUGCUGAGCCAGCAGACAGCCCUGCCCUCCUGUAAUGAGCCCAACUUCCAGGGGCUCACACAGUGAACCUCCCCCAGGCACCAAGAACAGACAGACUUUGCAAUGGAUUAAACUGGAUACAGAAGGAAUGGUUCUUACUUUACCUUGUAUUGUAUUUCUUUUUA